UCGAGAAUCUUCCGCAAUGGGCGAAAGCCUGACGGAGCGACACCGCGUGCAGGACGAAGGCCCUCGGGUUGUAAACUGCUGUCACGCUCUAGGAAUCCCGUGUUGUGAAUAGCAGCACGGUUGACUAAGGCGAGAGGAAGUGGCGGCUAACUCUGUGCCAGCAGCCGCGGUAAGACAGAGGCCACGAACGUUGUUCGGAAUCACUGGGCAUAAAGCGCACGUAGGCGGCUAGGUCCGUCCGAUGUGAAAGCCCCCGGCUCAACCGGGGAAUAGCAUCGGAUACAGCCUGGCUUGAGGACGGUUGGGGUGAGUGGAACUCCUGGUGGAGCGGUGAAAUGCGUAGAUAUCAGGAGGAACACCGGUGGCGAAAGCGGCUCACUGGACCGUUACUGACGCUGAGGUGCGAAAGCUAGGGGAGCAAACGGGNUUAGAUACCCCUGUAGUCCCUGAGCGGGCUGGCAAGGCGCAU
RNAcentral lists this ribosomal RNA (469 nucleotides) under uncultured bacterium. RNAcentral describes it as "bacterial SSU rRNA". It matches the Rfam family "Bacterial small subunit ribosomal RNA", at positions 355 to 825 of the family's 1533-position model. The record is from RNAcentral.